RNAcentral lists this long non-coding RNA (215 nucleotides) under Elaeis guineensis (African oil palm). RNAcentral describes it as "long non-coding RNA (EGUI_LNC031449)". Lineage: Eukaryota; Viridiplantae; Streptophyta; Magnoliopsida; Arecales; Arecaceae. The record is from RNAcentral.
UGGAGCUCCACCCCGCACUGGACUCCUCCUGGCUCUUGAAGCUUCAUUUUGCACUGGACUCCCCGCCAGGUAAUAAUGUCCUCUUCUCCUCUUCUUCCCCUUCAGAACAAUCCUAUCACCGCAUAGCACCUUCAGGAUUUCUCCACUAGCUACCGUCUUGUAGUCUCUCGAAUCCAGUCUGCUCAAUGAGAUAAGAUUUCGUCUAAAAUCGGACA